RNAcentral lists this long non-coding RNA (2155 nucleotides) under Penaeus japonicus. Its description in RNAcentral is "uncharacterized LOC122250523". Lineage: Eukaryota; Metazoa; Arthropoda; Malacostraca; Decapoda; Penaeidae. The record is from RNAcentral.
UCUCUUGCGCCUCCGCCCGACACAACGUCAGCGGGUGUUGCCAGGCGGAAGUCGCCCUUAAGACCAUGUGGGUUCUUCGCGGGGCCCGAAUCUAGGUCAGGAGCGUAAUAUUGGUCACGAGCGCGGGGAACCCACAUACACACACACACACACACACACGCACGCGCGCACACACACACACACACACGCGCGCACCUCCUCCUCUCCUCCCCAAGUCCGACUCACUGUCACAGGUAAACACGCUGCGACGAGGCGCUCCUCGGAAGAGCUCGCGACGUCGGAGCCAAAGCCGUCUGUGGUGUUCGUGUGGUGGCUUAGGAUGGUGACUUAGUGCUCUCUCUACACGAGGCCGGGAAGGGCUUCCUUAGACGCCUCGACUAGGGCGAAGGAGCGAAAUAGCGAAGGAGACGAGUGAUAAAACUGCUGAAAGAAUCUGCCUUUGAUUCCGACAUGACCCGCGGACUUCUGCUGGGGACUCCUGCUGGCCUGACUCCUGCUGAAGCCCAUCAUAUCCUUUUGCAAGAAUGGACUGCUUAUUUUUUCACGAGAUUUUUUAAUGAUUAUCAUCGUGAAACUUGUAGAAUGUCGCUGAAUAACCUUCUCACGGAGGCGAUGACUACAUACGCCGGGCGGCCUCCUGCUCUUGUCUGACACAACGAUGUUUCCUUCAGGAUUUCUUGAAACAGGGAUGCAGAGGUUGCAGCAGGCAGAUCUGCACCCUCUGCCUCUACCCCGCUCUCCUCGGUCGACUAAGCCAGCGAGGGUCUCACGCACUGCAAGUGUGAAGGACGAGGGUGACAGGGUAAAUGAGUAAAAGGUCUUUCUCUUUCUCCUUUGCGGUGCAAGAAAAACAGGGAAUAUAAGAGUCUUUCUUGUUAUGGUAUUUCUUCGUGUCGAUAUACCGUUGGUCUUCCAUUAGCUUUGUUAACGCCGGCGCUCUUCGCUUGUCCAUCGCGAGAGAUUUUCUGGAAGAGAGGCUAUGGCGCUGGGUAGUCGAUGCGUUGGAGACUCGGCUAGAUCUCAAAAGACGAUUUUGAUUCUUUUUCUAUGGGGGACUUGCCUCGCUUGACCUUUUUAUUUCCAGCUGGAACUUAAACAAGGUUAGGUCACUCCAAAAGGCUUGAUGCCCUAAUAACGCCUGUCUUACCGGUGUCAUUACCUGCCCAUUUAUACGAGCUUAUAGCAGUGUUUCUCAUGUGCGUUGGAUGAGCACUGUGCCGAGAUGUCUGUAUUCAACGCAUUUCUUUCCACACAUCAUUUUUUUUACGACAGAAAUUCCUAAUCUACCUAACCUGAGAAAAAUCUAGUCAAACUGGAAUGUCUAGGACAUGACGCUGUGAGCUUUGAUUGCAUGUGACCCAGGCUAUAGAUAAUGCUGACCUCGCUUCGACGUAGGUCAGUCUUAUGACAGUUUUACUCAACGUUUGACUUAGCUGACUCACGCGAGAACUACUGAACAUAGCGCCACUCCUUGUGUCUAUUAAUGUGUGAUAAUCCCCCACUCUUAUGUUUUGUGCAAUGUUGCUACACAAGUUUCUGAUUAACUAUCAACUUUUCCCCCCGAUUGUCAACAGCGGCUUUAUUUUUGAAAAUCUAGGGCGUGAGCGGACGUGUUUUGAGAAAGGACUUAUCUUAGACGCUGUUUGCUUAGUGUUGACAAUAUUGAAUGAUUUUAUUUCUGCAUACUGCAUAGACGAGUUCAGACAUGUUAGAACUAGAAGUACAAUUUUCCUAUAGAUGAUUGCUGUAUCACGUUUUAUUCAGUUAAAUCAGCAUUACAUUUGUUACUGAAGAGAUAACAGUUCGCUUCGGGUUAUGGUUAUGAUAGAAUGUAGUGUUAGUUUAUUUAUUUAUUUAUUUCGAAUUUCUUCUUUGACGAAUACGCAGUACAAAAAAAAAUGACUUUCCCAACGACAGUAGAGUGUGACCUUAUUAAUUUGACUCGUCAGCUCAUUAAGGACUGACUUCCGGCUGUUGGGUAAUUAGACAUUCAAAGGGGUAAUUAAGGGGAUAAACAAUAACGUCACUGAAGACUAUUAGACAGCUGACAUUAUGACACGACUCGACUAACUAACUGUGCCAUUUUAUUGUUGAUUCUGACUGACAGGCACUUGAUGGUGACAUUUCUAUUUUUAAAAAAUCGACAUGAUAUUGA